RNAcentral lists this long non-coding RNA (7886 nucleotides) under Panax ginseng (ginseng). RNAcentral describes it as "long non-coding RNA (PGIN_LNC018835)". Lineage: Eukaryota; Viridiplantae; Streptophyta; Magnoliopsida; Apiales; Araliaceae. The record is from RNAcentral.
GCGAAAGGUACGUAGGCAUCCUAGUAAAUGAUGAUUUUCUUCUAACCAGAAGUAUGAGCAGGUUAAAAGUAGAAGAAUAAGCAUCUCGAAAGCCAAAAAUAAAAAAUAAAUGAAAAGAAGAAGACAGCAAUAGCAAGACCACAUUUUUCUUUUUCUUUCUUUUUAUCUUUUCUUUCUUUCUUUUUUGUUUCUUUUUAGACGGAGGAUUUCAUUUCAUCUUUGAAAAUAAACCUAAGAAUUUAUCAAAGUAAAUAAAGGAUAAACGACAAUACAAAUAUAUAUUCUUAUUUUAUUUUCAAAUAUAUACGCAUGAUAAUGAUUCACAAUUAUACACACACACAUAUAUAUAAUAGGCCACAACCAACAAUCCACUAAACAAUUUGUAAACCGUCGAGGUGUUUUAGUUGACGAGCUACCGUCUACCAAAUCGUUAUUACUUAGAAGGGUAAGUGAAGUAAAUUAUGAAAUAAUUUUACCUCCAGAAUCAGAACACAUACAUAAUGUGUUUCUCGUUUCUGUUUUGCAUCCUUAUAUAUCGAACUAUAAGCAUGUAAUAGAUUACGAGUCAAUACAAGUUGAAAGACUUAAGCUAUGAAGAAAUCUUAGUUCAAAUUGUAUAUAGAAAAGAACAAGUCUUAAGAAAUAAAAUAAUACCUUUGGUGAAGGUAAUAUGGAGAAAUCACUCCGUUGAGAAAGUUACGUGGGAGCUAGCAUAUAAGAUAAAGAACAAUUACCACAUCUUUUUAAGUAAAGUACUAAUAAUUUGGGGGAGAAAAUCCUUAUAAGGGGGGAGAAUGUAAUAUUCCAAAACCUUGUAUAAACUUUGUAAUUAAUUAUAAAUGCAAUGUCAUUAAAGUAUAAAUUAUAAUUUUGAAUAUUAUAGAAUAUAUGUGUAGUGUGUGUGUGUGUGUGUGUGUGUGUGUGUAUAUAUAUAUAUAUAUAUAUAUAUAUAUAUAUAUAUAUAUAUAUAUAUGACAAAUGUCUCCAACGAACCAGUUCGUUGACGAACAGACUAUGGCGACGACUUUCUUAGAUAUGACGACGAUUUAAACCGUCGUCAUAGCUGGUUCGUUAGAGGUUGGACUGUACAUGUAUAUAUAAAAGAAAGCAAAAUCAAAAUUAAUCAAAAUUGGUCAACAUAGGUCUAGAGAAUUCCACAACCUACCAAAUGGAUAAGCAAUGUAAUAUAUCACUACAAGAGAUUUAUUGCGAAAAAAUAUUUCCUUCACAUGAUUGCUCGCAUAAGACCACCUCGCAAUAGAGUAUCUGUGACGCCCCCAAAAUAAGUCCACACAACCCAUUCUGAGUCGCCAAAUACAUAGUACAAAAUUCAAAUACAACUUAACUUAUACAACUAUUAAUUGUCUUGCAAAAUACGACAAAACAUACUCUGUGAGUUUUAAUACAAAUAUUAUCCUGUAGACAAUAUUCAAACUCAAAUAAAAUCCUCAUUACAAUUAUUAUCACACUAUUUUACAAAAUAGUGAGGAUUACUUAUAAAAUAACCAUCUUGGACCAUUACUCUACUCCCCGACUAGUCUCAGCUACAUUCUCGCCUCCUGAGAAGAACAGUGGAACCAAAAAGAAAAGGGUGACCUCAACUAGCCCAGUAAAAAAUAUUAUAACUAAGAUAAUGUAAAACAAAUUAUCCUCAAUUGCAGCGGAAACAGAAUCCAUUAAAAGAGUCAAGUAGAGCAUAAUGUCUACUAUCUUCUAUGAUUUAAAAGUUCAUCAUCAAUAUUUUAUCCUUGUAAUAUCAAUCAAUAAUUAUUUUCAAUCAACGAAUUAUCUAUGCACUACGGGCCAAAGAUAAUCGUUAGUAUCACCACUGGUCAUGAUCAUGCUAAACACCUAUCCAUCUAUGCACUACGGGCCAAAGAAGACUUUCACCACAAACCUUAUCCGUAACAUUAAAAGUUAUGAUUAUACCAAUACACAAUUUCUGGUCAUAUUCAUACCAAUCAACAGUUCAUCUUUGCACUACGGACCAAAUAUGACUUCCAGCACAAUAUAAGCAUGAGGAUGAUGACAGUGAUAUAAAGAUUCAAUCAAUUCAUGAUAUCAAAAAUAAAUAUUAGAGAAUUCUAAUUCAAUUAUCCUGAGUUCAAAUAUGUCUAAAGUGUCAACAUAAUAACUAUUUGUGAAGUAAAAUUCAAGAAUGAUAUUCAUGUGUCAAAAAUAAUUUGGACAGAAAAGAAAAUUAAUUAAAUUCUGUUGUGAAUAGUACCAUAUAAAUAGUAUCCAGACAUGAAAAGAUUAAAAUUUAAUAAGAAAGUUCAGGCCAAUAUUCCAGUGAAAUGAUAUUAGAUGAAGCGCAAAACUUAAGGAAUUUCUAAUCAUUUCAGGAAUUAUAGAAACAAUACUUACCAUAGUAAGUUUAAAUUUAGAAAUAUGAAAUGAAAUAAUAUCCCUUACAUAAUAUGGAGUAUGAAAGAAAAUAAUAUUUCUUACGAGUAUUGAAAUAAAAUAAUAUCCUUUACCUUAGUUGAAACUAAAUUUGACUGGAAUAUCGGAUAUUAUUUUGAAAAAAUCUUGCACAAAAAGCUACACUCAAAGUAUCCUUAUACUCAUGAGAAAUACUCACAAUACUAUAGAAUAAGAAUUUCUGAUAUUGAUGGUGUAUUUAGCUAGAAAGGAGGUUGCCCCUCCUUUUAUAGUGCAACGGAGGGAGAAAAGUUAAAUAAACUUGCUUAACCUUUUUUUUUCUCCACCUAACAUCCCUUCUUUCUUCUCUGCCUAACUCCUCUCAUUUUUCCUUAGUUGAGGGCCCACGCUUUUGCAACAAAAGCUUUGCAGGAGAAUUAUUUCAUCCAUUUGCACAAGUGGAGUACACAGAAGGAAUUCAAAAUAGCAAUGAUAACAUUCACUCCGCUUUUAUUCACCUGCUGAAAAUUAUAUAUCAUUAUAAUAAUAAUAUUAUCAAUUAAAUUAUAAAAAGUUUAUAUUAUUUUUUUAUCACAUUAUUAUAAUAUAAUAUUAUAAUAAUAUAUUUGAUGAAUAUUUUAUCGGAGAAGAUAAUUUCCAAACUUUCAACAAAUAUUUCAUGCUAAAUUCCUUCAUUUAUAUCAAAAUUAAACCAAUAUCCACCACAUAAUAAUUAUUCACAAUUAAUAUUAUAAUCUCACAAUAUUAACAACCAGAUCACUCUCAGGAAAGAGGAGGCUUUCCGAUAAUGAUUUAUCCUUACUGGCGCACAAUUAUAUAACCUAACCACUUUCCUCGAUAGAAUUUUCUAGACAUUGCAAUUAAUGCUAACUAAUAAUAUGAAUAAUUGUGUCGUGUAAAUUAGUGAUUUAAUAAUCUAAAAUAUUGUUCAGACGAUACUGUGACAACAAUUGAAUCAAUAAUAUGAGAUACUAUGUAACAAUUACUGUGACAAUUAUUGAAUUAAACUAAAUGACUUCUUACGUAAGAAUCAAUAAUCAGAAAUAUUGUGCAAUACCGUGUGCUACUGUGCAACCACACUUAUUACUGUACUUUUAUCACCGGGUAUUCUAACAGUUAACGGUAAAAGUUUUACCGUUAUUUUUAUAAAAAUGUUAUUUCUGUCGCUUUCUAUAUCUGACAAUUAUUCUGUUAUGUGGUCCACCAAUGAUUGCGUCGUCGUACGAAUAUUCCCUGACAAAAAGAAUAUUCCCCGACUAAAUGAAUAUUAUAUGACAACUUGCUUACUUUGCAAAAUUUGCACAUAUCACCCAUAACUAAAGCAUUAUAUCAAAUCAACACCUUAUUAUUCAAAAUAAUAAUUAAAGAAAUUAAAUUUUUAUUCAUAAAAAGUUGGGGUCUUACAAUAUCCUUCUCUAAGUAAUAACUAAAUGUUUUUUUGUGAAGAAUAUAUUGUGAAUAACUUUUUAUUCACAAAUCAUAUUUGGUAAUGGAAUAUUGUUAUUUAGUGAAAUAUGGUUUCCUUCACAAAUAAUAUUUUAAGAAUGACUUUUUAAAAUUAGUGAAUAUAUAACUUUAUUCCCUCACAAAUAAUAUAUUGUAAAGAACAUAUUCAUUUAAUGAGAGAAGAUUUUUCUUCAGUAAUUAUAAAUUAAGAAUCUUUCUUCAAAUUAAUAAGAGAAAAAUUCCUUCAUUGAUGACUAACUAAUUAACUAGAACAGAUUUUAGUGAGGAAAAUAAUCAUCCAUUAAUGUCCAUUUCUUCAUUAUAAUAUCUCAUUAAAAUAUAAAUAACAAAAAAGUUAUCAAAAGCUAGUGUCAUAUCACCUAUAAUAUGUAUCCACAUAUAUUGCACAAGGAAGAAAUUCUCUAGCUAUAAGACGUAGUAAUUGUCAACUCCUCAUUAUCUUCGUCUUCAAGCAAGUCAAAAUUUAGCCUUUAACUUCAUUAUGCAAGAAAAGUAACAAAACCUCUUCAUACAACAAGAAAAGUAUCAAAAUAUAUAAGUUGAGUAUAUGUCCACAAAUUUUGAACCGUUAAAAAUGAGCGUAUAAUUUGUAAUGAAUUUUAAGAGGUAACUGAUUCAGAAAUUAGGUUUUGGUGGAAAAUUCUAGAAUUGAGUGGGCCCCACUCUUGGUUGUUGGGGGAGAUGGCUGAUUUUUGGUGGGUGAAAUAGUAGCAGGUAAAGCCAUCAGGUAGCAGGUCAAGUUUGCUUCGGCGUGCUAACAUUUUCCUAUAAAUAGAGGGCUAAGUUAGAAUUGAAAAUCACACCAUAAUUCAUAAGUUUUCUCUCUUUUCUCUCUCUAGAUUAUUGAGUGUAUUUUGGGAGUAGUUAGAUACUUGGUGAGUUGAUAUUCAUCAGUGCAAGUUUCCUUCAGCGUCAUAUCCGAUAUCCAGUCAGAAGUGCUGCUCUUUUGAGGUAAGGGAUAAUAAGGGAUUUUAAGGGUUGUUAUGUUUUUCAGUUUCGUAAUUUUUUUGACCUUCAAAAAUUCUGGAAAAAUUUGAAAUAAUAUUUUGAUGAGUUUUAUUGAUUGUGUCCAAAAAUGGUGAUUUUUGGAUGUAUAGAUUAAGAGGUAUGAAUUUUAUGAGAAAAGACUAUUUUAAAAGUAACCGCUUAUAAUUCCUUGUGGUUAACUCUAAAAUUGAUGAAAUUUUUAUUGGGAGUACAUCUAUAUAAUAUCAGUGUACUCUGUGAUUUUCGGAAUUUUUGGAUAAAAGUACAAUUUAUGAUAAAUGUCUAAAUAUUCGGCGGUUUUGGCCAUAUGAAAAAUAGUAAAUGAAUUUUAAAAAUUUUGAGAAAAAUGUAUGUUCACUAUGGGACUAUAUUAUGCUAAAUCCCAGAAAAGAAAUAUUUUUGGGCUAUAUUAUGAUAAAUUUCUAAAUAUUCUUUCUUUUUUGUUUCUUUUUAGACGGAGGAUUUCAUUUCAUCUUUGAAAAUAAACCUAAGAAUUUAUCAAAGGAAAUAAAGGAUAAACGACAAUACAAAUAUAUAUUCUUAUUUUACUUUCAAAUAUAUACGCAUGCAUGAUAAUGAUUCACAAUUAUACACACACAUAUAUAUAUAAUAGGCUACAACCAAUAAUCCACUAAACAAUUUGUAAACCGUCGAGGUGUUUUAGUUGACGAGCUACCGUCUACCAAAUCGUUAUUAGUUAACCAAGUUAGUGUAAAUUUUCAUUUUUGGAAGCUGGUAUAAACUAUCAUCAGUCAAAUUGUUAUUAGCAAAGGAGCUACGAAUGUAAGCUAUCGUCUAACAAACUGUAUUAGCUGAUGAACUAGUGUAAACUAUCAUUUACCAGAAGUAUGAGCAUGUUAAAAGUAGAAGAAUAAGCAUCUCGCAGGUAAAAAAAAAAGGAAAAGAAGGAAGACAACAAUAACAAGGCCAUAAUUUUCUUUUUCUUCCUUUUUAUCUUUUUUGUUUAUUUUUAUACGGAGGACUUCUUUUCAUCUUUGAAAAUGUGGGUAAAGAAAUCGUACCUUAGAUUUUCGUGUUGGCUGAGGAGGAGAGAAAUCCAUGAAGAGUACGAGAUUGAUUGAUGAAUUAAUUAAAGAGGGGAGAAGAACAUGUGAUCAAUUACUCCAAUGACACAUGACAGAACUCUUAGGAUCCAAGAACCUUCUUAGGGUGCCAAGGAGUCUUCUAGGGUGUGCUUCGGGUUGAGAGAGAAUUUCCAAGUCUUCAGUCUUCCAAAAAGUCUCUUCUUCAUAAAAUGGAAUGAGUAUUUAUAGAGUUUCCUGGAAAGUGAUCACGUGCCAGACACAUGACCUCGAGGAAAUUAAUUUCAAAAAUACCCUUAGUCACCAGAGUAAUGCCCAGAUCGUUCUGUCUUUCUAGCCACCAAUCCAAUCCCUCAAUCAAUUCCCAAAAUGAGUUGCCUCCAUAAGCCUUUUACUUUGGGAGGCUCUUCCUCGAUCUCAUGAUAUAAAGCUCUUGUUGCUUAAACCAUGCUUACUUGCUCUUCCUUCUUUAUUUGAGAAUCUUGUCGCUAGAAAUCACCAGAAGAACUCUGCGCAAGACCCGUGAAGCCUCGUGUUACACCCCAGUCCCACAUCGAAAGAUAUGGAAAAAAUUUGUUUAUAUAUAAGGAAUUAAGUUACUACCAAUAAUAUACCUUUAAGUCAUGACCUUUUGGGUGAGCCUAUGGUGGGCUAAGAUGACCUAAUAAUAUAUUAUUGGGUCAGUGGUUUAAGGCCUUAUUUUGGAUGGAUUCGAUUCGAACAUGGGAUUUGAACCAAGAUUUGUUCUGGGCUUGGGAUUUGACUUGGGUUGUAACAUAUGAUAUUAGAUCCGACUCUCGAAAGCUCGGAUUGGAUCAUCCGAUCGGGUUGCCGGAGGUGGGGACACAAAACCAGCCGGUAUUAUCCCACAAUGGCUAAAGAGGCAAAGAUCUGUGGAUCGUAUUUGUGAUCGGUUCUGAUGGAGACGUAAAAUUUAAGUGGGGGAGUUUAUAACACCUCAAUCCCACAUUGAAAGAUAUGGGAAAUACUAUUGUGCGAUGAUUUAAGCUAUCCAACUAUAUUGUUAUAAUUUGGAUUCCAGUCUGAGAAUGAACAAACCCUGAAAUGGGAUAUUUUUAUUGCACUCUAGGAGUGGUGACGUUGAACAUGAAAAUUGUUCUGGAUAAGAUAGUAUUGAUCAAUUCAGGGCAUAAAGGGAUGAUCACCAACCGUGCUCGUAAGAUAAGACGGUUCACAAAUAAAUUUUUGAGAGAACCUUUUCAAGAAAAGAAAAAGCUUGUUCACAGUCUUAUGACCUCUCGGAUGUUCAAUAUUGAUAUGAUAUUCCAGGAAUAUGAAUGAUUCAAGAUUUAAUUGCUUUACAAUUUUGUUUCACUGUUAAAGCAUGCCUCAAAGAAAACAUUUAAUUAUUGUUAAGAUAUUAAAGAAUGCUAUUACUUGUUGAGCAAUUGAAUGCUUAUUCUUGUUUUGUUAUAAAUGUUUUCUGCUAAUUAGGCUCCAACAGAGGGGUCUAAUAGAGACAAAGGAAAAGGAAAAGCUAGUGAGUAGUUGGUAUAUGUUGUAAUAAAUAGUUUAUAUGUUUGUAGAUAUUUAACUAUCAUGUAAUAAGCACUUAAUGGUUACGUACCUGGUAUUAGAAGAACUCUGAUAUAAUAAAUCUAUCAAGUUUGAUAUUAUAUUAUGUUGAAUGCUUGAUAUCUUGAAGCACUGAAUAAGGGUUUAAAAUACCCGAAUUUGGGGGCGUCACACGCCCGAUUCGCCUCCUUUGCGUAUGUUUAACAUGCUCAUACAACUUGUCUAAUACUCCAUUGAUUAAUUCUAAGUAUCAUUAUAUUUCAUAACUUUCAUGUUUAAUAACUUAGAAUAACAUAUUUUAUCGUCAAAAGCAUCCACGUAGUACGAGCAUGCCCGACGCCCUCCGAUCGCCUCCGAUCGAAUGCACAAUAGUCCUAAAAAUAGCCAUUUUAGCCCCUUCUCCCGACCUCAAAUCUCAAAACUUAUAAAAUAAAAGUUUUAGGUCAACUUCUAAUAUUUUCGAAUCAU